RNAcentral lists this ribosomal RNA (2902 nucleotides) under Klebsiella pneumoniae. RNAcentral's name for it is "23S ribosomal RNA". It matches the Rfam family "Bacterial large subunit ribosomal RNA". Lineage: Bacteria; Pseudomonadati; Pseudomonadota; Gammaproteobacteria; Enterobacterales; Enterobacteriaceae. The record is from RNAcentral.
GGUUAAGCGACUAAGCGUACACGGUGGAUGCCCUGGCAGUCAGAGGCGAUGAAGGACGUGCUAAUCUGCGAAAAGCGUCGGUAAGGUGAUAUGAACCGUUAUAACCGGCGAUGUCCGAAUGGGGAAACCCAGUGUGAUUCGUCACACUAUCGUUAACUGAAUACAUAGGUUAACGAGGCGAACCGGGGGAACUGAAACAUCUAAGUACCCCGAGGAAAAGAAAUCAACCGAGAUUCCCCCAGUAGCGGCGAGCGAACGGGGAGCAGCCCAGAGUCUGAAUCAGCUUGUGUGUUAGUGGAACGGUCUGGAAAGUCCGACGGUACAGGGUGAUAGUCCCGUACACCAAAAUGCACAGGCUGUGAACUCGAAGAGUAGGGCGGGACACGUGGUAUCCUGUCUGAAUAUGGGGGGACCAUCCUCCAAGGCUAAAUACUCCUGACUGACCGAUAGUGAACCAGUACCGUGAGGGAAAGGCGAAAAGAACCCCGGCGAGGGGAGUGAAAAAGAACCUGAAACCGUGUACGUACAAGCAGUGGGAGCACCUUCGGGUGUGACUGCGUACCUUUUGUAUAAUGGGUCAGCGACUUAUAUUCUGUAGCAAGGUUAACCGUAUAGGGGAGCCGCAGGGAAACCGAGUCUUAACUGGGCGUUAAGUUGCAGGGUAUAGACCCGAAACCCGGUGAUCUAGCCAUGGGCAGGUUGAAGGUUGGGUAACACUAACUGGAGGACCGAACCGACUAAUGUUGAAAAAUUAGCGGAUGACUUGUGGCUGGGGGUGAAAGGCCAAUCAAACCGGGAGAUAGCUGGUUCUCCCCGAAAGCUAUUUAGGUAGCGCCUCGUGAACUCAUCUUCGGGGGUAGAGCACUGUUUCGGCUAGGGGGUCAUCCCGACUUACCAACCCGAUGCAAACUACGAAUACCGAAGAAUGUUAUCACGGGAGACACACGGCGGGUGCUAACGUCCGUCGUGAAGAGGGAAACAACCCAGACCGCCAGCUAAGGUCCCAAAGUCAUGGUUAAGUGGGAAACGAUGUGGGAAGGCACAGACAGCCAGGAUGUUGGCUUAGAAGCAGCCAUCAUUUAAAGAAAGCGUAAUAGCUCACUGGUCGAGUCGGCCUGCGCGGAAGAUGUAACGGGGCUAAACCAUGCACCGAAGCUGCGGCAGCGACACUAUGUGUUGUUGGGUAGGGGAGCGUUCUGUAAGCCUGCGAAGGUGACCUGUGAGGGUUGCUGGAGGUAUCAGAAGUGCGAAUGCUGACAUAAGUAACGAUAAAGCGGGUGAAAAGCCCGCUCGCCGGAAGACCAAGGGUUCCUGUCCAACGUUAAUCGGGGCAGGGUGAGUCGACCCCUAAGGCGAGGCCGAAAGGCGUAGUCGAUGGGAAACAGGUUAAUAUUCCUGUACUUGGUGUUACUGCGAAGGGGGGACGGAGAAGGCUAUGUUAGCCGGGCGACGGUUGUCCCGGUUUAAGCAUGUAGGCUGGUUGUCCAGGCAAAUCCGGAUAAUCAAGGCUGAGGUGUGAUGACGAGGCACUACGGUGCUGAAGUAACAAAUGCCCUGCUUCCAGGAAAAGCCUCUAAGCAUCAGGUAACAUUAAAUCGUACCCCAAACCGACACAGGUGGUCAGGUAGAGAAUACCAAGGCGCUUGAGAGAACUCGGGUGAAGGAACUAGGCAAAAUGGUGCCGUAACUUCGGGAGAAGGCACGCUGGUGUGUAGGUGAAGUCCCUGCGGAUGGAGCUGAGACCAGUCGAAGAUACCAGCUGGCUGCAACUGUUUAUUAAAAACACAGCACUGUGCAAACACGAAAGUGGACGUAUACGGUGUGACGCCUGCCCGGUGCCGGAAGGUUAAUUGAUGGGGUUAUCCGUAAGGAGAAGCUCUUGAUCGAAGCCCCGGUAAACGGCGGCCGUAACUAUAACGGUCCUAAGGUAGCGAAAUUCCUUGUCGGGUAAGUUCCGACCUGCACGAAUGGCGUAAUGAUGGCCAGGCUGUCUCCACCCGAGACUCAGUGAAAUUGAACUCGCUGUGAAGAUGCAGUGUACCCGCGGCAAGACGGAAAGACCCCGUGAACCUUUACUAUAGCUUGACACUGAACAUUGAGCCUUGAUGUGUAGGAUAGGUGGGAGGCUUUGAAGCGUGGACGCCAGUCUGCGUGGAGCCAACCUUGAAAUACCACCCUUUAAUGUUUGAUGUUCUAACGUUGGCCCCUUACCGGGGUUGCGGACAGUGUCUGGUGGGUAGUUUGACUGGGGCGGUCUCCUCCCAAAGCGUAACGGAGGAGCACGAAGGUUAGCUAAUCCUGGUCGGACAUCAGGAGGUUAGUGCAAUGGCAUAAGCUAGCUUGACUGCGAGCGUGACGGCGCGAGCAGGUGCGAAAGCAGGUCAUAGUGAUCCGGUGGUUCUGAAUGGAAGGGCCAUCGCUCAACGGAUAAAAGGUACUCCGGGGAUAACAGGCUGAUACCGCCCAAGAGUUCAUAUCGACGGCGGUGUUUGGCACCUCGAUGUCGGCUCAUCACAUCCUGGGGCUGAAGUAGGUCCCAAGGGUAUGGCUGUUCGCCAUUUAAAGUGGUACGCGAGCUGGGUUUAGAACGUCGUGAGACAGUUCGGUCCCUAUCUGCCGUGGGCGCUGGAGAAUUGAGGGGGGCUGCUCCUAGUACGAGAGGACCGGAGUGGACGCAUCACUGGUGUUCGGGUUGUCAUGCCAAUGGCACUGCCCGGUAGCUAAAUGCGGAAGAGAUAAGUGCUGAAAGCAUCUAAGCACGAAACUUGCCCCGAGAUGAGUUCUCCCUGAGACUUUAAGUCUCCUGAAGGAACGUUGAAGACGACGACGUUGAUAGGCCGGGUGUGUAAGCGCAGCGAUGCGUUGAGCUAACCGGUACUAAUGAACCGUGAGGCUUAACCUU